Small nuclear RNA from Cercocebus atys (sooty mangabey), 107 nucleotides. Lineage: Eukaryota; Metazoa; Chordata; Mammalia; Primates; Cercopithecidae. The record is from Ensembl.
GUGCUCAAUUUGUCAGCACAUAUACUAAAAUUGAAAUGAUACUGAGUAAAUUAGCAUGACCUCUACACAAGGGUCACAUAAAACUUUGUGAAGCAUUACAUCUUUUG